RNAcentral lists this long non-coding RNA (644 nucleotides) under Nicotiana benthamiana. RNAcentral describes it as "long non-coding RNA (NBEN_LNC040220)". The record is from RNAcentral. Lineage: Eukaryota; Viridiplantae; Streptophyta; Magnoliopsida; Solanales; Solanaceae.
UUUUAUCUCAGUAGGGCCCUAACCUUCCUCGUCACUACCCGACCGAGGUUAGGCUUGGCACUUACUGAGUAUCGCUAUGGUGUGCUCACGCCUCUUCUGUGCAUGUUUUUCAUGUGCAGAUCUAGGUACUUCCUCCUAGAUGUAUCAUCCUCGUGGUGGAGAGUUCUAGCUGAGACUUGAGGUAUAUCUGCUACGUCUACAUACUGGGAGUCUCUAUUCUAUUCCUGCUUUAGCAGAUAGUUCCUUUCUUUCCCUUCAUGUUGUUUAGACAUUCUGGUGUAGAGCAGAUUAUUACAUUCUAUUAGCCUGUGUUGCUCGUGAGUUUUCAGUUUUUGGGAUUUGUUUUAGAUUUGUGAUGUUAAGCUAUAUAUGCCGAGCUACAUUCAGUACAAUUUCCUUUGAAGAUAUUUAAUUUGGGGUUUUCUAUUUUUCGCAAUUAUUUAUUUCUUCAAAUGUUAGGCUUACCUGGUCGUGGGGACUGGAUGCCGUCAUGACAUGUUCAUGGUUGGUGAACUAGGGUCGUGGCAGAUGAUGAUACCCACAGAGGCGUAUGUUUUAAAAAGUUUAUUUAUACAAACACAUGUAUCAUGCAUUUCAAGUUAGUAGCCCUCAGAGGUACACAGAUGUUACAAGUUAUAUAUUCU